Molecule: non-coding RNA, 54 nt
Organism: Salmo salar (Atlantic salmon)
Lineage: Eukaryota; Metazoa; Chordata; Actinopteri; Salmoniformes; Salmonidae
Source: Rfam
UGCAUUCUAGACUGUAAAUCGCUUUGGAUAAAAUCGUCUGCUAAAUGGCAUAUA